AAUCUUUCUAAAAUUUGAACGAUCCGUCUCUGUCUCAGUCGAAUCGACUCAACCCCCUCUUAUUGGAUUCCAAGCAGCUGUUCACGUCUCGUUUGUCACGAUAAACAUAUCCGUCGCGUAAAGGCCAUCGAGAGAGUCUCUCCUUCUACCGACCUUCUUCUCCUUCUCCUCACUCUCUCCUACUUGGGUCCCCCGUGGCACACAGGUGUACUGGACGGCGUUCCUCGGCCUCCAUACGCUUUCAGUUAACGCCUGGUCGUCGCUAGGUAUGCCAGCUCCCUCGUGGAUACUGCCAGUUUGCCUGUGAUCCGUUUUACCUGGCUUCGUGACCUGGCUUUGUCUCGAUCAUCUCAAUCAUCCUCGCGUCGAUAUUUCUUUCUUUCUUUCUUUCUUUCUUUUUUUUUCUCUCUCUUUUUCUUUUCCUUUUCUCGGUGGAACUCGGUAGUUUUUGUGAGUGAUUGGGACGGAAGAGGAAACGUGGGAGAAACUUUUAUGUUUAUUUAUGAAACUAAGUGGGUGGCUGGCUCGUGGGAGUUUGACUCAUCGGUGUAUUCUUUUUUUGGAUGAUCCGAGCCACCGAAGCGUGAGUGUCUACGCGAGUAACAGUUUUCCGCCUUGGUUCCUAAAACUUUCACGGUUAUUCGCCCGGGCCCCCACAACUUCGUGAGAGAUUGUCUUCUCGUAUAUAGGGAACGAGAGCUGAUGAAUAGCGAACGGAAGUCGAUCGUCUCGUCGGAUCGGAAGCUGUGAACUUAGAACGUUCUCACGAUUCACGAAGGUGAAACGAUGCGGUGAUACCCGAGGAACCCCGCCUCAACACCCGUACAUAUCAAUUCAUAUCUCUGCCCGAUAAACAUCGCCAAACAUCAAUCGACCAAUCAAACGAAGCAUAUCGAAACGCAAUGAAGAGCCAACGA
RNAcentral lists this long non-coding RNA (917 nucleotides) under Apis dorsata (giant honeybee). RNAcentral's name for it is "uncharacterized LOC116185455, transcript variant X1". Lineage: Eukaryota; Metazoa; Arthropoda; Insecta; Hymenoptera; Apidae. The record is from RNAcentral.